ACCCGACUGCUAUCAGAGUGGGACUAAGCCAUGCGAGUCGACAUAGCAAUAUGUGGCAUACGGCUCAGUAACACGUAGUCAGCAUGCCCAGGGGACGUGGAUAACCUCGGGAAACUGAGGAUAAACCGCGAUAGGUCAUCACUUCUGGAAUGGGUAAUGACUUAAACCUAUAUGGCCCCUGGAUUGGACUGCGGCCGAUCAGGCUGUUGGUGAGGUAAUGGCCCACCAAACCUGUAACCGGUACGGGCUCUGAGAGGAGGAGCCCGGAGAUGGGCACUGAGACAAGGGCCCAGGCCCUAUGGGGCGCAGCAGGCGCGAAACCUCUGCAAUAGGCGAAAGCUUGACAGGGUUACUCUGAGUGAUUUCCGUUAAGGAGAUCUUUUGGCACCUCUAAAAAUGGUGCAGAAUAAGGGGUGGGCAAGUCUGGUGUCAGCCGCCGCGGUAAUACCAGCACCCCGAGUGGUCGGGACGUUUAUUGGGCCUAAAGCAUCCGUAGCCGGUUCUACAAGUCUUCCGUUAAAUCCACCUGCUUAACAGAUGGGCUGCGGAAGAUACUAUAGAGCUAGGAGGCGGGAGAGGCAAGCGGUACUCGAUGGGUAGGGGUAAAAUCCGUUGAUCCAUUGAAGACCACCAGUGGCGAAGGCGGCUUGCCAGAACGCGCUCGACGGUGAGGGAUGAAAGCUGGGGGAGCAAACCGGAUUAGAUACCCGGGUAGUCCCAGCUGUAAACGAUGCAGACUCGGUGAUGAAUUGGCUUAUUGCUAAUUCAGUGCCGCAGGGAAGCCGUUAAGUUUGCCGCCUGGGGAGUACGGUCGCAAGACUGAAACUUAAAGGAAUUGGCGGGGGAGCACCACAAGGGGUGAAGCCUGCGGUUCAAUUGGAGUCAACGCCGGAAAUCUUACCGGGGGCGACAGCAGAGUGAAGGUCAAGCUGAAGACUUUACCAGACAAGUUGAGAGGAGGUGCAUGGCCGUCGCCAGCUCGUGCCGUGAGGUGUCCUGUUAAGUCAGGUAACGAGCGAGAUCCCUGCCUCUAGUUGCUACCAUUAUUCUCAGGAGUAGUGGAGCUAAUUAGAGGGACCGCCGUCGCUGAGACGGAGGAAGGUGGGGGCUACGGCAGGUCAGUAUGCCCCGAAACCCUCGGGCCACACGCGGGCUGCAAUGGUAAGGACAAUGAGUUUCGAUUCCGAAAGGAGGAGGCAAUCUCUAAACCUUACCACAGUUAUGAUUGAGGGCUGAAACUCGCCCUCAUGAAUAUGGAAUCCCUAGUAACCGCGUGUCACUAUCGCGCGGUGAAUACGUCCCUGCUCC
RNAcentral lists this ribosomal RNA (1308 nucleotides) under uncultured bacterium. RNAcentral describes it as "bacterial SSU rRNA". It matches the Rfam family "Archaeal small subunit ribosomal RNA", at positions 21 to 1336 of the family's 1478-position model. The record is from RNAcentral.